RNAcentral lists this ribosomal RNA (227 nucleotides) under uncultured bacterium. Its description in RNAcentral is "partial 16S ribosomal RNA". It matches the Rfam family "Bacterial small subunit ribosomal RNA", at positions 143 to 353 of the family's 1533-position model. The record is from RNAcentral.
ACAACAGUUGGAAACGACUGCUAAUACCNCAUACGAUCUAAUCUCGGCAUCGAGGAAAGAUGAAAGGUGGCCUCUAUUUAUAAGCUAUCACUGAAGGAGGGGGUUGCGUCUGAUUAGCUAGUUGGAGGGGAACGGCCCACCAAGGCGAUGAUCAGUAGCCGGUCUGAGAGGAUGAACGGCCACAUUGGGACUGAGACACGGCCCAGACUCCUACGGGAGGCAGCAUG